Molecule: long non-coding RNA, 1019 nt
Filed under: Mytilus galloprovincialis (Mediterranean mussel)
Lineage: Eukaryota; Metazoa; Mollusca; Bivalvia; Mytilida; Mytilidae
Source: RNAcentral
AUUUAAACCUAAAUUCAUUACUCUUGUUGAAUUUAUAUCAUUACCUCAAUGUCACAUUAUUUAUGGAUAAUUUUACAUAAACUAUGAUAAAUGAAAUUCUUACUGUAACCAGAAUAUAUUCAAACCAAACAGAUGUUAUAUUAUAGUAAAAGACCACAUGAUGGUUCCAAGGUAGCUACAGUGUUUUGCUAUAUAUUGUGAAUUUAGUAUUGCAUUUAAACAUUAGCGUAAUGAAUAAUAUUUUUUAAGGUACUUAUAAGGAUAGAAGCUGCAGUUUAUAUACAUUAUUUAUACUUUGCAUGUAUCCUUACACCUGUAUUAUUUAAGGAAUGACUGUAAUAUUUUUUCUGUGUAUUAAGAAAUCACGUAAAAAAUUUGGUGCACACUGAAUAACGUGUGUAGCGGGUUAUUUAACAGUGUGCACCACAUUUUUUAUGUUAUUUCAAAUAGACAGAAAAAAUAUUACAGUCAUUUCUUAUAAUUAAAUACUAAUUUCCAUUUUAAACUGUAGAAAAUCAAGAAAAAACGUUGAUGACGUCAUGGUCACAUGACUAAAUUAUGUCUAUGGGCUGAUAACAAAAUGACCUCAGCCAAUCAGAAGACGAGUUACAUUCAAAAUUAAAUUAUUUCAUAAUCUCAUUACAUUUAUGUUUCAUUAGCAUCCAUGGUUUGAUUGUUAGACAACCAAAGAAUAGUCACUCUAAUACUCUAAAAAUAUACUUCAUUUCCCAAUUAAAUGAAACAUAUAUGACUGUAUGUGCUCCACAUGACAACAAUGCUUAAUGAAACAAAAUAGUUAUACGGAUCCACAAUCGCAAAUUUGUAUUCUCAUGUGGAAUAAAAACAAUAAUUUAGUGGUGUUCUGAAUCUAAAUAUCAUGCUUUUCUGGGAUAUAUCAAAAAAACUUCAGGAAAUUGCAUAAAGUACUGUAAAUUCUGUAAAUAUUGUGAUGUUUUUAUUAUUGCAAAAAAUGUGACAAGGUUAUAAUCGCGUUUCGAUAAUUUUUUUUAUGAAUUAAA